CAUGAGAAGAUAGAUUCAUGGGUCGAUUGUGAAGUUGGAUCUGGCAUUGGAUUGUUUUGUGCAAAACUCGUGGAUCCACAUGUGCUUCGUGUUUGGCUACUCGUGUCUUGCAUGCGAAGUGUUUGUUGAAAUGCUCGUGAGAGAUUUUUAUGUUCAAUUGGAGUUUGUGACUUAUGGGUUGGCUGAAUAUGACUGGUUUCUGCUAAGGAAGCUCAUUAGGCUAAUUUGAUGCAGACAUAAGGGCACUGCUACCCUCAGAUGCUCACAUGACAAGCCAUGGAUUAUGGACAAAGGUUUCUUUGCAGCCCAAAGUUUUGGCUUUGGAGAUUCCCCCUCAAAACCAUUGCACUACAGAGCAUAUGUUCUUUUUAAAUCUUUACAAAAGACUUGUUUAUCACUAUCUCUACAAAGAGUGACCCA
Cucurbita maxima (winter squash) is the source of this 420-nucleotide long non-coding RNA. RefSeq lists it as uncharacterized. The transcript has 2 exons. NCBI's taxonomy places the organism in Eukaryota, Viridiplantae, Streptophyta, Magnoliopsida, Cucurbitales, Cucurbitaceae. The record is from RefSeq and is a predicted model, not a curated record.